Molecule: ribosomal RNA, 814 nt
Filed under: uncultured bacterium
Lineage: Bacteria
Description: bacterial SSU rRNA
Rfam family: Bacterial small subunit ribosomal RNA
Source: RNAcentral
AGAGUUUGAUCAUGGCUCAGAAUGAACGCUGGCGGCGUGCCUAACACAUGCAAGUCGCACGAGAACGUUUCAGCUUGCUGGAACUAGUAAAGUGGCGCACGGGUGAGUAACGCGUGGGUAAUCUGCCUCCGAAUUGGGGAUAACGUUGCGAAAGCGACGCUAAUACCGGAUAAUAUCUCGAGCACCUCGGUGCUUGAGAUCAAAGGUGGCCUCUGCAUGGAAGCUACCGUUUGGAGAUGAGCCCGCGUACCAUUAGCUUGUUGGUAGGGUAAAGGCCUACCAAGGCGACGAUGGUUAGCUGGUCUGAGAGGAUGAUCAGCCACACUGGAACUGGAACACGGUCCAGACUCCUACGGGAGGCAGCAGUGAGGAAUUUUGCGCAAUGGGGGAAACCCUGACGCAGCAACGCCGCGUGAGUGAUGAAGGCCUUCGGGUCGUAAAGCUCUGUCAAGUGGGAAGAACCUGCCCUGUGCUAAUAUCACCGGGCACUGACGGUACCACUGAAGGAAGCACCGGCUAACUCCGUGCCAGCAGCCGCGGUAACACGGAGGGUGCAAGCGUUAUUCGGAAUCACUGGGCAAAGAGCGCGUAGGCGGUUUCUUAAGUCAGAUGUGAAAGCCCGGGGCUUAACCCCGGAAGUGCAUUUGAAACUAAGGGACUUGAGUAUGGGAGAGGGAAGUGGAAUUCCUGGUGUAGCGGUGAAAUGCGUAGAUAUCAGGAGGAACACCGGUGGCGAUGGCGACUUCCUGGACCAAUACUGACGCUGAGGCGCGAAGGCGUGGGGAGCAAACAGGAUUAGAUACCCUAGUAGUCC